This is a non-coding RNA of Mycena latifolia, 93 nucleotides long. The record is from the annotation of a GenBank genome assembly. NCBI's taxonomy places the organism in Eukaryota, Fungi, Basidiomycota, Agaricomycetes, Agaricales, Mycenaceae.
GGCCUGGUGGUGUAGUGGGAACACGUCCUCUUAGUAUAGCUUGGUGAAUGUGAUGUUAUGAGAAAGUCCUCUAUUCAACUCGGGGUCAGGCUG